Long non-coding RNA from Nilaparvata lugens (brown planthopper), 386 nucleotides. RefSeq lists it as uncharacterized. Lineage: Eukaryota; Metazoa; Arthropoda; Insecta; Hemiptera; Delphacidae. The transcript has 2 exons. The record is from RefSeq and is a predicted model, not a curated record.
UGAUUAUUCACAGCCGCUGCGAUAAUACAGUAGUUCAAUUUUGAUAUAAAUACAGCUACCUCGACACUCAGAAAGUCAGAAGCUUCCGGAUCUUGCUGUUUCAGAACAUUGACAGAUCUUCUCUUCAAUACCUCUAUCAUAAUGAAGCUCUUCUACGUAGUUCUCAUAGCAUCUGCGUUGGUUUUCCUGAGUUUUAUGUCUCCGGUUCCUGCCGCUCCUGUGCCUGAUGGACAUUCUAGAAGAAGUAAUGUAACUGCAAAUCAUUGGAAAUGAACGGUAGAACCCAUUUAAAAUGAAUUGUGAUGCGGGAAAUUUUAUUUAAUUAUUCAUUUAAAUAAUAAAUAAAUUGUUUUUGCGGGAAAAUAAUCACUACUUGUGGAAUGGAA